AAAAGCCAUACAGAGAGACUGUCCUGCAAAGCCUCUGCACCCUACCUCCACAGGCUUGAGGCCACUAUUUCCUUCUCUUCUCGGACUGUCUAGCUGACUGUGAGUCUCUCUAGUAGUCAACAACCCUUCUUGGUUGUCAACCAGCCUAUAAUUGAUUACUUC
Cyprinus carpio carpio is the source of this 162-nucleotide long non-coding RNA. Lineage: Eukaryota; Metazoa; Chordata; Actinopteri; Cypriniformes; Cyprinidae. The record is from Ensembl.